This 1057-nucleotide long non-coding RNA is filed under the name Sus scrofa (pig). RNAcentral's name for it is "lncRNA (ENSSSCG00065071183.1)". The record is from RNAcentral. Lineage: Eukaryota; Metazoa; Chordata; Mammalia; Artiodactyla; Suidae.
AAAGCUGCAUCCUUGACCAGGUUUAAAGGAGGGGCAUAUGAGGAAGUGGACUUUCAAGUCAUGUCCAACUGCAAAGAGUUAACCAAAACAACUUAGAAACUCCUAGACAGCACUUUCUCCCUCCACCCCGGCACCUUUCCUGAGUCUGUCUAUCCCACUGAGGUUCGGAUGUCAUGGAUGGCAACCUUUCUUCUCCCAAUCUCUCUGUUACUGUCCAUUAAGUGAGUAUCCAGCCUCAGGGUCUGGGGUAGGUUAGGAGCUGGGAAUGCACUUGUCACAUGCGGUCCUGGCUUCCCGGAAUUCACAGUCUAGGAGAGGAAGAGCAGCUAUACCGCCAAGUUCAAAAAGUGUUAUUAGCAGAGCAAUCAGGGCAAAAGGAUGCCUCCAAAGCAAGGCUCGAUUAAUCAAAGGGAUUCAGGGACCCAGGCAGGCUAAUCUCCAAGAAUCACUAAUAGGAUGCUUAAACGUUCUGAGCACCAGCAAGUAAAUAUCCUUUAUCACUUUAGGCAGCUUGGCUCUGGGAGGGGAGAAGGCGAGAUAAAUGAGUUCAGUAGACUGCCCACUCUAGCCCAGCUCUAAGUGCUCCUGUGUCCCCCUUGUAGCAGAAGUCCAGCAUUGCCACCGCAUCACCUCUUUUUCCAAGGUAAAGACAUGCCGGUGUCCCUGGGUAGUUUAAUGUUAACCUUAGGAUAGACGGCCAUUUAGUAUUAUUCCUACAACUGUCCAGAAAGGGGGGAAAGCAAGCCUCAGCCCAUACUAUCCGAAGCAAGGCAAACGUUCUGGAAAGCAGGGAAGAGUGGGAAUGAUCAUGGCCUUCCAAUUCCAGAUACCCAACCCGGGUCCACCUGGCCUCUCUGAGACAGGGACCACGCCGUACUCAUUGCCGUACCCGUGGCACUUGGUACUGAAAACUCUCCCUCUGGGUCUGUGGAAUGAGGGGGGAAGGCUGUCUUCAGAAGCCGUCUGGCCUGCUUGGUGCAGAGGGUAACACUUUGGUGAGGUCCGCAGGUGAAUCCCAGCACUAACAUCGUCAAAGCACCUGCCACGCUUUCUAAAG